Molecule: ribosomal RNA, 214 nt
Filed under: uncultured bacterium
Lineage: Bacteria
Description: partial 16S ribosomal RNA
Rfam family: Bacterial small subunit ribosomal RNA
Source: RNAcentral
CCGGGGGACAACAGUCCGAAAGGAUUGCUAAUACCGCGUACGUCAGCGAGGUCUACGGAUCUUGUUGGGAAAGAUGGCCUCUCCUUGGAAGCUGUCACCGGAAGAUGAGCCCGCGGCCCAUCAGCUAGUUGGUGAGGUAAUGGCUCACCAAGGCAUAGACGGGUAGCUGGUCUGAGAGGAUGAUCAGCCACACUGGGACUGCGACACGGCCCAG